This 253-nucleotide ribosomal RNA is filed under the name uncultured prokaryote. RNAcentral's name for it is "partial 16S ribosomal RNA". It matches the Rfam family "Bacterial small subunit ribosomal RNA", at positions 525 to 777 of the family's 1533-position model. The record is from RNAcentral.
ACGUAGGGUGCGAGCGUUAAUCGGAAUUACUGGGCGUAAAGAGUGCGUAGGCGGUUUCUCAGGUCCGCUGUGAAAUCCCCGGGCUCAACCUGGGAAUGGCAGUGGAAACUAGGAGACUUGAAUCUGGCAGAGGGGGGUGGAAUUCCACGUGUAGCAGUGAAAUGCGUAGAGAUCAGGAGGAACAUCCGUGGCGAAGGCGACUGCCUGGGCCAACACUGACACUGAGGCACGAAAGCGUGGGGAGCAAACAGGA